GUUCCGUCUGAUGGAUUCUGAAGGGGGAAAUCCUGUACGCUGUAUGUUGUAUUUGAAUAAUCCAUAAGCGUAUAGCUUUUCCCAUUCGGCGUUCAUUGUUACAUCA
RNAcentral lists this microRNA precursor (106 nucleotides) under Aedes aegypti (yellow fever mosquito). Its description in RNAcentral is "pre miRNA AAEL018785". The stretch from base 16 to 91 matches the Rfam family "mir-965 microRNA precursor family". The record is from RNAcentral. Lineage: Eukaryota; Metazoa; Arthropoda; Insecta; Diptera; Culicidae.